AGCGGCGGACGGGUGAGUAACGCGUGGGUAACCUGCCUCAUACAGGGGGAUAACAGUUAGAAAUGACUGCUAAUACCGCAUAAGCGCACAGGACCGCAUGGUCCGGUGUGAAAAACUCCGGUGGUGUGAGAUGGACCCGCGUUUGAUUAGCUAGUUGGUGGGGUAACGGCCUACCAAGGCGACGAUCAAUAGCCGACCUGAGAGGGUGACCGGCCACAUUGGGACUGAGACACGGCCCAA
This 240-nucleotide ribosomal RNA is filed under the name uncultured bacterium. RNAcentral describes it as "partial 16S ribosomal RNA". It matches the Rfam family "Bacterial small subunit ribosomal RNA", at positions 94 to 334 of the family's 1533-position model. The record is from RNAcentral.